UCCAGGCCUACGCCCGACCGCGCUGCUCACCUUUUGCUUUCCGGUUUCCCUUUCCUUUCCCCAUUUCCCUUUCCUCCAUCCUUCCUAUUUGCUCCACCUCCUACCUCCUUGCCGGCAGUCCAUGGUGACGUUGUUGCCUAGGAUCCCGUCCGCGCCUCUCUGCGCUGCUGCUCGUCCUCCCGCUCUUCUACCUCCUCCUGCCCCCACCCCUUUGCGCCACAACCCAAACCCCACCGAGGCCUCCUCCAUGGUCUUCUGCGCGCCGCCCUGGACCUCCGUCCACUCCCCAGUGCGGUGAAGGCAGGUGGUUCUUCCUCCUCGUCACCUCCGCCAUCGACGCUACCGCACAAGGUGUUCAGUGUGGCCUCCUCCCGCCGCAAGCCGCCUCCCCGCCUCCUGCUCUACCUUUGGAUCCAUCCCCCAGCACUGUCUUCUAUUCUUUGACCCGCCCACCGCCGCCGUGGCCUCGCGCCUCGCUCCUCCCGGCGAACCUCCACCUCUGCAGUUCCCACGACACCUCCCAUUUCCCCAUUUGGAGCCCUGUUUUCUGCAUAGCUUUGAGCUUAGUGUGCAAACAACUUGCAGACAACAUGCAUCCUUUAAUUUUCGUCGUGGCAGAUUGUCCAGGUUUGAUUGCUGCACAUUUGGUUAAUCACUACACCUUUAGUUCUUCAAUUAUGUUUGUUUUUACAGAAUUGCUGUAAAAGUAGCAUAUGAAUAAUCAAACUAAUAUGUUCCUUAAACAAGAUCUGAAGCCACAAGAAUUCGUAAAAUUAACUGUUCCAGAAACUAUCCCCCAAGUGGAACAUCCAAGAUCUGCAAGUUACUAUUAUCUCCAUGUGUCUACAAGUACUCUGGUGGAGUAGUUAUUUACUUGUUAAUGUGAACAAGAGGAUUUGUAUGUUUCUCCUGUCUGAUGGUCUGAUUAAUUCUACUGGGGAUAGUUUGGGACAAUGGUGUAAUUUGGGGUGUUGGGCCUAUGGUUCUAGGUGAAUCGCGAUUGUAUUUCUUUGCCGGACAGCAAUAGUAGUAUAUGUAGCAUUUGUUUGUAUGUCAAGUUUCAAAAACAUACAGGAAGGUCAGAGCCAGACAAGAUGAUUGUACUGGACCUAGAUGGUGAUUUGUUCAAAAACACUGUUCCUAAUGUUUGUACUUGCUACGUUCCAUUGUCCUUCAAGUCAUGGAGCAGCUAGUCCUGAAUACUAGAAUGCCCUUGAAGAUGCAGAUAAUAUUGCUUCA
This is a long non-coding RNA of Brachypodium distachyon (stiff brome), 1239 nucleotides long. RefSeq lists it as uncharacterized. Lineage: Eukaryota; Viridiplantae; Streptophyta; Magnoliopsida; Poales; Poaceae. The record is from RefSeq and is a predicted model, not a curated record. The transcript is spliced from 2 exons.